Odocoileus virginianus texanus is the source of this 682-nucleotide long non-coding RNA. RefSeq lists it as uncharacterized. The record is from RefSeq and is a predicted model, not a curated record. Lineage: Eukaryota; Metazoa; Chordata; Mammalia; Artiodactyla; Cervidae.
AGGGAAACCAGAGGGUCUAGGAGCCAUUUUGUUUUCACGCUGUUUCCAGGGGAGCGCCCAGGGCGGAAGGUCUCUUCUCCGAGAAACUUGGUACCGACUGUUUGUCCCGAGCACCAGUAAAAGGCUUGCCUCCUUGUUGCGUCAAAAGCUCUGAAACCCUGUGUGACCCUGCUCCAGCUAAUCUCUUCAGCCACUCAAGCCACUCUCCCUUCCCUUCUGCAGCCAGACUGCCUACCUUCAGUUCAUGGCCAAGGAUGAACAGGAAUCUAAAUUUAUGCUGUAAAAAGACCACGCAGAACGCUGCCUUGAAUGGGAAUGACGGUAGAGAUGCUGGAUCGUGGUGGAUUCUGCAUUUAUUUUCAAGUAUUUGAAGGAAUAUAGCACAGUGGUUACAUACUAUGUCCUGGAACUGAGCCAUCUCUUAGCAACAUGACUUUGAGAAAUGGACAAACUAGACACGGUCUGUCUCAGCUGACCUGGCCACCAGAACCCUCCCUCUUCUCCCUGCAGCUGGAUGGACCUGACGCAGCAGUCAUCCAUGACCAUGCAGCUCUUUGGAGAGGACAUAGAAUUCAAGGAGAGGGCACUGGAAGUAAGAGGGCUGACUUUGGCUUCCUGCUCUAAAUGAUUUUCUGUGAUCCAGCUUUUACUUGUAAUCCACUUUUAGGUCCUUGUCCAGUUA